Molecule: long non-coding RNA, 2453 nt
Organism: Sander lucioperca (pikeperch)
Lineage: Eukaryota; Metazoa; Chordata; Actinopteri; Perciformes; Percidae
Exons: 5
Source: RefSeq, a predicted model, not a curated record
AGAGGGAGGGUGAGGCGAGAUCCACCUCCGCGGGAAAUAAUGGGGAUGAUAAUAAAACAGAGGGGGGAAAACCCGUCCGAGGGAAGCUGAAUGGAUGGAGCCAGAGAGACGUCACGGCCAGCCGCAGCCAUGAAGACUGAGCGCUCCAGCCUCCGGCGGCUCAGUCGCUCUCCAUCUCCCCAGCUGCUCGCUUCCUCGGUCGGCUUUUUUUUUGGGGAGAACGGACGCCGCGGCGACUCGCAGAAGACGGCGGAUCCCUGGAGAGACACUCAGCAGCCUCACAACACGUGGCUUACUGUAGGUCAGAACUUUGGGCCAUGUCACUUUGCCUGCGGCUUGAGAGGAUGGGUAGCCUUAGGGGUUGGUUGUUAUCUUUGGUUAUCUAGCUGUAUGAGUGAUGUACAUUCUUCAUAAAGCUAGAUAACCGAAAGUAACAAGAAUCCCAUUACACUCCUGAAAAGGCAUCAAGACCCCAAACGGGCCACCCUCAAAAAAAAGAACAAACUGCAAGAACAAGAACUGCAACACCAGAGAAGAAAAUGGACGACAUUUAAAAGGAGAUGGGAGCGGAACGCAGCAAAAGGUUACCAACCACACCACCACUGAAGGGAAGCUGGCAAAAAAAGGAGCCUGAAAAACAGAGAAGAAGGAGGAGGAGGGGUUGCUGUUGAUUCUGCCCUGCCUCUCUCCUCGCCCUCCUCUGCAUCGCCUCUUCCCUCCUCCUCCUAAUCCUCCUCCCUUCCUCCUCCGCUCCAUCCUCAGCCGACUGCCCCUUUUUCCUGUACAGCGAGACGCAGCCCGCGCCACCAUCUUAGAGCAACGCUGGCAUGAAAUGGAAGUGGGAAGACCAGUCAGUGCAGGUGUAUGUCUGUCGGUGUGCAGAAGGGGAUCCCAAACAGCCAGAGCAGACAAAGAGGAGGGACAGCAGGUCUCCUCCGUUUGCCGUCUUUCAGCCAGGACUAAAACAACGACGACGGCGCUGAUGUCUGCACGUGCUUCCUGCCGUGACUUUGGGACAUUGCCGUGCUGUUUGUACCUCUUUGAUUGCGGCUCUGCGAUGCGCUAUUUGACCCAAGCGGGACUGAGCAAAACGUCCACGGUGGACCGUGCAUGGCUGUGGGAAACAAAGACUCAGACAGAAGAUGAGCAGCUUGAGGUGUGGACAAACUGGUCCAUGAAUGUUGUGACUCUCGAGGGUGUGGCACUUCAUUUUGUAAUUCUUCUUCUUAUAUAUUCUAUCCUACAUAUGAAGAAUAUCACUUAGACAUGAAGCAAUGUAGUGUGUCUUCAACUAACAUAGGCUUGACUUGUAGGUUUAUUUGAAUGAGUUGUAGCCCAGGUUCUGUUUGAUUCCUGUUUUGUUAUAUAGUUGCUAGGACUCGGAGACACGUGAAUGUGAGACCCACGGCAGCAGUGAAUAAAUACUGCACUGCGAUUGGACAGCUCCGUGUGUCGGCUGACACAAUGGCGAAGGAAUGAGCUGUCGUCUUUAUACUCUAUGCAACUGUUUUAUCUUUUUUUUUUUUUUUUUUUUUUGGUUCUUUUAUUUUUAUUUUUGGUCUUGGAGCUCCUUUCAUCCUCAGGAUUUUUAUUUUUGGGCUACCAGUUUUAUAGAUAUUCCUUCAGACAUCAUGAAGAGAAAUGGUUUUUAAAAGGAGACUACUUUCCCCCGGUUUGUUAAUAUACUGCUACAGAAAUGACAGUCAGAGUGUGUGUGUUUGCGUGUGUGAGUGUGUGACAAAUGACACAAUACAGCUCAGUUUCAUAUGCAUUUGGAUCUCAUAUUUGCAGCCUUAACAGACUUUAAUUCGCAGCCGUGAGCCACACAGUCUGAGUAAACGGCCGCCCGCACGUUUAAUAUUCCUGAUGGCAGGAGUGUGUUUGAUCAGCAGGAAGUGGCAGAGCCAGGGCUCAUGGCGGCGAGUAUACAGAACACGCCACACUAUUAAACCUUCCCCAGCGCUCUCUGGAACGCAGCAGCUUGGUUCAGUUACCUGCGUCGCUGUAACGAUCCGUCGUUGGGUGAGACAUGAUAAAUACAUUGGCUUCAAACACCGCCUUAAUUUCCUGUCCUUGACAUUAACACACACACACACACACACACACACACACACACACACACAUGCACACGCACACACACACACACACACACACAAACACACACACACACAUGCCCAAACGCAAUAAAGCAAGUACUAUCGCAGCCUAAUUCAUUCUAUAUUAAUUUUCGGGAAGUGGCAAUUUUUUUAUUACGAUUGAUAAUCUAUGCAAAUCUUUUAAAUAUUACUUUAAACAAUCUUGUGUCUAUGCAGUGCUUUUGCAAUUGAUUUGAGAGGAGACUAUCUUGGUUCUAAUUUAGAAAAUGUAUUCUUUGGAUAAUCAUGCACAUCCCAGUGCUCGAGACAAUUACUUAUCUGCCUGGAUAAGCUUGAAAUUAUGUUUUUAAUCUUAAG